ACACUGAGGCGUGAUGACGAGGCACUACGGUGCUGAAGCAACAAAUGCCCUGCUUCCAGGAAAAGCCUCUAAGCAUCAGGUAACAUCAAAUCGUACCCCAAACCGACACAGGUGGUCAGGUAGAGAAUACCAAGGCGCUUGAGAGAACUCGGGUGAAGGAACUAGGCAAAAUGGUGCCGUAACUUCGGGAGAAGGCACGCUGACACGUAGGUGAAGUGAUUUACUCAUGGAGCUGAAGUCAGUCGAAGAUACCAGCUGGCUGCAACUGUUUAUUAAAAACACAGCACUGUGCAAACACGAAAGUGGACGUAUACGGUGUGACGCCUGCCCGGUGCCGGAAGGUUAAUUGAUGGGGUCAGCGCAAGCGAAGCUCCUGAUCGAAGCCCCGGUAAACGGCGGCCGUAACUAUAACGGUCCUAAGGUAGCGAAAUUCCUUGUCGGGUAAGUUCCGACCUGCACGAAUGGCGUAAUGAUGGCCAGGCUGUCUCCACCCGAGACUCAGUGAAAUUGAACUCGCUGUGAAGAUGCAGUGUACCCGCGGCAAGACGGAAAGACCCCGUGAACCUUUACUAUAGCUUGACACUGAACAUUGAGCCUUGAUGUGUAGGAUAGGUGGGAGGCUUUGAAGUGUGGACGCCAGUCUGCAUGGAGCCGGCCUUGAAAUACCACCCUUUAAUGUUUGAUGUUCUAACGUGGACCCGUGAUCCGGGUUGCGGACAGUGUCUGGUGGGUAGUUUGACUGGGGCGGUCUCCUCCUAAAGAGUAACGGAGGAGCACGAAGGUUGGCUAAUCCUGGUCGGACAUCAGGAGGUUAGUGCAAUGGCAUAAGCCAGCUUGACUGCGAGCGUGACGGCGCGAGCAGGUGCGAAAGCAGGUCAUAGUGAUCCGGUGGUUCUGAAUGGAAGGGCCAUCGCUCAACGGAUAAAAGGUACUCCGGGGAUAACAGGCUGAUACCGCCCAAGAGUUCAUAUCGACGGCGGUGUUUGGCACCUCGAUGUCGGCUCAUCACAUCCUGGGGCUGAAGUAGGUCCCAAGGGUAUGGCUGUUCGCCAUUUAAAGUGGUACGCGAGCUGGGUUUAGAACGUCGUGAGACAGUUCGGUCCCUAUCUGCCGUGGGCGCUGGAGAACUGAGGGGGGCUGCUCCUAGUACGAGAGGACCGGAGUGGACGCAUCACUGGUGUUCGGGUUGUCAUGCCAAUGGCACUGCCCGGUAGCUAAAUGCGGAAGAGAUAAGUGCUGAAAGCAUCUAAGCACGAAACUUGCCCCGAGAUGAGUUCUCCCUGAGACUUUAGGUCUCCUGAAGGAACGUUGAAGACGACGACGUUGAUAGGCCGGGUGUGUAAGCGCAGCGAUGCGUUGAGCUAACCGGUACUAAUGAACCGUGAGGCUUAACCUUACA
RNAcentral lists this ribosomal RNA (1399 nucleotides) under Salmonella enterica. RNAcentral describes it as "partial 23S ribosomal RNA". It matches the Rfam family "Bacterial large subunit ribosomal RNA", at positions 1553 to 2925 of the family's 2925-position model. The record is from RNAcentral. Lineage: Bacteria; Pseudomonadati; Pseudomonadota; Gammaproteobacteria; Enterobacterales; Enterobacteriaceae.